Molecule: ribosomal RNA, 2927 nt
Filed under: Salmonella enterica subsp. enterica serovar Derby
Lineage: Bacteria; Pseudomonadati; Pseudomonadota; Gammaproteobacteria; Enterobacterales; Enterobacteriaceae
Also listed under: 1 other name
Description: 23S ribosomal RNA
Rfam family: Bacterial large subunit ribosomal RNA
Source: RNAcentral
GGGUUGUGAGGUUAAGCGACUAAGCGUACACGGUGGAUGCCCUGGCAGUCAGAGGCGAUGAAGGACGUGCUAAUCUGCGAUAAGCGCCGGUAAGGUGAUAUGAACCGUUAUAACCGGCGAUUUCCGAAUGGGGAAACCCAGUGUGAUUCGUCACACUAUCAUUAACUGAAUCCAUAGGUUAAUGAGGCGAACCGGGGGAACUGAAACAUCUAAGUACCCCGAGGAAAAGAAAUCAACCGAGAUUCCCCAGUAGCGGCGAGCGAACGGGGAGGAGCCCAGAGCCUGAAUCAGCAUGUGUGUUAGUGGAAGCGUCUGGAAAGGCGCGCGAUACAGGGUGACAGCCCCGUACACAAAAGCGCAUGUGCUGUGAGCUCGAUGAGUAGGGCGGGACACGUGGUAUCCUGUCUGAAUAUGGGGGGACCAUCCUCCAAGGCUAAAUACUCCUGACUGACCGAUAGUGAACCAGUACCGUGAGGGAAAGGCGAAAAGAACCCCGGCGAGGGGAGUGAAAAAGAACCUGAAACCGUGUACGUACAAGCAGUGGGAGCACAGGUUUACCUGUGUGACUGCGUACCUUUUGUAUAAUGGGUCAGCGACUUAUAUUCUGUAGCAAGGUUAACCGUAUAGGGGAGCCGCAGGGAAACCGAGUCUUAAUUGGGCGUUAAGUUGCAGGGUAUAGACCCGAAACCCGGUGAUCUAGCCAUGGGCAGGUUGAAGGUUGGGUAACACUAACUGGAGGACCGAACCGACUAAUGUUGAAAAAUUAGCGGAUGACCUGUGGCUGGGGGUGAAAGGCCAAUCAAACCGGGAGAUAGCUGGUUCUCCCCGAAAGCUAUUUAGGUAGCGCCUCGUGAAUUCAUCUCCGGGGGUAGAGCACUGUUUCGGCUAGGGGGCCAUCCCGGCUUACCAACCCGAUGCAAACUGCGAAUACCGGAGAAUGUUAUCACGGGAGACACACGGCGGGUGCUAACGUCCGUCGUGAAGAGGGAAACAACCCAGACCGCCAGCUAAGGUCCCAAAGUCAUGGUUAAGUGGGAAACGAUGUGGGAAGGCCCAGACAGCCAGGAUGUUGGCUUAGAAGCAGCCAUCAUUUAAAGAAAGCGUAAUAGCUCACUGGUCGAGUCGGCCUGCGCGGAAGAUGUAACGGGGCUAAACCAUGCACCGAAGCUGCGGCAGCGACACUGUGUGUUGUUGGGUAGGGGAGCGUUCUGUAAGCCUGUGAAGGUGGCCUGUGAGGGUUGCUGGAGGUAUCAGAAGUGCGAAUGCUGACAUAAGUAACGAUAAAGCGGGUGAAAAGCCCGCUCGCCGGAAGACCAAGGGUUCCUGUCCAACGUUAAUCGGGGCAGGGUGAGUCGACCCCUAAGGCGAGGCCGAAAGGCGUAGUCGAUGGGAAACGGGUUAAUAUUCCCGUACUUGGUGUUACUGCGAAGGGGGGACGGAGAAGGCUAUGUUGGCCGGGCGACGGUUGUCCCGGUUUAAGCGUGUAGGUGUGUGUUCCAGGUAAAUCCGGUUCACUUUAACACUGAGGCGUGAUGACGAGGCACUACGGUGCUGAAGCAACAAAUGCCCUGCUUCCAGGAAAAGCCUCUAAGCAUCAGGUAACAUCAAAUCGUACCCCAAACCGACACAGGUGGUCAGGUAGAGAAUACCAAGGCGCUUGAGAGAACUCGGGUGAAGGAACUAGGCAAAAUGGUGCCGUAACUUCGGGAGAAGGCACGCUGACAUGUAGGUGAAGUGAUUUACUCAUGGAGCUGAAGUCAGUCGAAGAUACCAGCUGGCUGCAACUGUUUAUUAAAAACACAGCACUGUGCAAACACGAAAGUGGACGUAUACGGUGUGACGCCUGCCCGGUGCCGGAAGGUUAAUUGAUGGGGUCAGCGCAAGCGAAGCUCCUGAUCGAAGCCCCGGUAAACGGCGGCCGUAACUAUAACGGUCCUAAGGUAGCGAAAUUCCUUGUCGGGUAAGUUCCGACCUGCACGAAUGGCGUAAUGAUGGCCAGGCUGUCUCCACCCGAGACUCAGUGAAAUUGAACUCGCUGUGAAGAUGCAGUGUACCCGCGGCAAGACGGAAAGACCCCGUGAACCUUUACUAUAGCUUGACACUGAACAUUGAGCCUUGAUGUGUAGGAUAGGUGGGAGGCUUUGAAGCGUGGACGCCAGUCUGCGUGGAGCCGGCCUUGAAAUACCACCCUUUAAUGUUUGAUGUUCUAACGUGGACCCGUGAUCCGGGUUGCGGACAGUGUCUGGUGGGUAGUUUGACUGGGGCGGUCUCCUCCUAAAGAGUAACGGAGGAGCACGAAGGUUGGCUAAUCCUGGUCGGACAUCAGGAGGUUAGUGCAAUGGCAUAAGCCAGCUUGACUGCGAGCGUGACGGCGCGAGCAGGUGCGAAAGCAGGUCAUAGUGAUCCGGUGGUUCUGAAUGGAAGGGCCAUCGCUCAACGGAUAAAAGGUACUCCGGGGAUAACAGGCUGAUACCGCCCAAGAGUUCAUAUCGACGGCGGUGUUUGGCACCUCGAUGUCGGCUCAUCACAUCCUGGGGCUGAAGUAGGUCCCAAGGGUAUGGCUGUUCGCCAUUUAAAGUGGUACGCGAGCUGGGUUUAGAACGUCGUGAGACAGUUCGGUCCCUAUCUGCCGUGGGCGCUGGAGAACUGAGGGGGGCUGCUCCUAGUACGAGAGGACCGGAGUGGACGCAUCACUGGUGUUCGGGUUGUCAUGCCAAUGGCACUGCCCGGUAGCUAAAUGCGGAAGAGAUAAGUGCUGAAAGCAUCUAAGCACGAAACUUGCCCCGAGAUGAGUUCUCCCUGAGACUUAGAGUCUCCUGAAGGAACGUUGAAGACGACGACGUUGAUAGGCCGGGUGUGUAAGCGCAGCGAUGCGUUGAGCUAACCGGUACUAAUGAACCGUGAGGCUUAACCUUACAACGCCGAAG